GAUCCUGGCUCAGGAUGAACGCUAGCUACAGGCUUAACACAUGCAAGUCGAGGGGAAACGAUAGAGAAAGCUUGCUUUUUCUAGGCGUCGACCGGCGCACGGGUGAGUAACGCGUAUCCAACCUGCCCAUCACUUGGGGAUAACCUUGCGAAAGUAAGCCUAAUACCUCAUAAUACAUAUUAUUCGCAUGAGUUUUAUGUUAAAGAAAUUCGGUUACAGAUGAACAUGCGUUCCAUUAGCUGGUUGGCGGGGUAACGGCCCACCAAGGCGACGAUGGAUAGGGGUUCUGAGAGGAAGGUCCCCCACACUGGUACUGAGACACGGACCAGACUCCUACGGGAGGCAGCAGUGAGGAAUAUUGGUCAAUGGGCGAGAGCCUGAACCAGCCAAGUCGCGUGGAGGAAGACUGCCCUAUGGGUUGUAAACUCCUUUUACCUGGGAAUAACGGGCGCUACGUGUAGCGCUGUGCAUGUACCGGGAGAAUAAGCAUCGGCUAAUUCCGUG
RNAcentral lists this ribosomal RNA (504 nucleotides) under uncultured bacterium. Its description in RNAcentral is "bacterial SSU rRNA". It matches the Rfam family "Bacterial small subunit ribosomal RNA", at positions 15 to 507 of the family's 1533-position model. The record is from RNAcentral.